AACGCUAGCUACAGGCUUAACACAUGCAAGUCGAGGGGUUUGCUUCGGCAAACGACCGGCGCACGGGUGAGUAACGCGUAUCCAACCUGCCAUCCAUUUUGGUAUAGCCCUCCGAAAGGAGGAUUAAUCCCGAAUAAUGUACCGUGAUCUCAUGAACUCGGUAUGAAAGCUCCGGCGAUGGAUGAUGGGGAUGCGUUCCAUUAGGUAGAUGGCGGGGUAACGGCCCACCAUGCCCACGAUGUCUAGGGGUUCUGAGAGGAAGGUCCCCCACACUGGAACUGAGACACGGUCCAGACUCCUACGGGAGGCAGCAGUGAGGAAUAUUGGUCAAUGGCCGGAAGGCUGAACCAGCCAAGUAGCGUGAAGGAUGAAGGUUCUAUGGAUUGUAAACUUCUUUUAUACGGGAAUAAAACCUCCCACGUGUGGGAGCUUGUAUGUACCGUAUGAAUAAGCAUCGGCUAACUCCGUGCCAGCAGCCGCGGUAAUACGGAGGAUGCGAGCGUUAUCCGGAUUUAUUGGGUUUAAAGGGAGCGUAGGCGGGAUAUUAAGUCAGUCGUCAAAGCCUGUGGCUCAACCACAGCCCGCGAUUGAUACUGGUAACCUUGAGUGCGGAUGAGGUGGAUGGAAUUCGUGGUGUAGCGGUGAAAUGCUUAGACAUCACGAAGAACUCCGAUUG
RNAcentral lists this ribosomal RNA (676 nucleotides) under uncultured fecal bacterium CF46. RNAcentral's name for it is "bacterial SSU rRNA". It matches the Rfam family "Bacterial small subunit ribosomal RNA", at positions 32 to 715 of the family's 1533-position model. Lineage: Bacteria; Pseudomonadati; Bacteroidota; Bacteroidia; Bacteroidales; Bacteroidaceae. The record is from RNAcentral.